This 93-nucleotide transfer RNA is filed under the name Actinocatenispora sera. RNAcentral describes it as "tRNA-Gly". Lineage: Bacteria; Bacillati; Actinomycetota; Actinomycetes; Micromonosporales; Micromonosporaceae. The record is from RNAcentral.
CCGGCCGCGUUCGGCGCACCGGCGGUCGCGUCCGCUGCCGGCGGACCGGGCCGUACCGGCACGGUCGCGCCGUUCGACCGGAAGCCGGCCGGG